Molecule: long non-coding RNA, 534 nt
Organism: Carassius gibelio (silver crucian carp)
Lineage: Eukaryota; Metazoa; Chordata; Actinopteri; Cypriniformes; Cyprinidae
Exons: 3
Source: RefSeq, a predicted model, not a curated record
GGAAAGUGAAACAUUGCAUUGAAAAGAAGCUGGAUUAUGCUGCAGCACUCUCUGUGCUUUUUGGUUGCUUUUAUUUUUUAAAUAGUGGGUACCAGGAGUCAGCCAGUGCCACACUUGAGCUUAUUCAAAGUUAAAAGAAAGGUUCAAAAUGUGAAUCCACAUGACCAUACAUUUUUGCAGAGCUAUAGAGAAUUUAAAUAGAAAACAUCUGAUUAAGUUUGGAACAACAUGUGGGUCAAUGGUGACUGAGUAUUAUAUUUUGUCACUACAUAUUUUACGUGUGUGUGUAAUAUUGAAAAGGAAGAAAACAUUAUUUCUAUUUGGUUACAAUUUUUUUGAAAAUAUUAAUUUCAUUAAUUUGCUUUUAUUGAAAAUAUGCUUGAUUAAUUAAGUUACUAACAUACACUGGCAUUGUUGUUUAUUUAUUUUACUUUUGUUAUUAUAUUGUUAAGGAAAUAAGAAUACUUGUAUUUUGUUUAUAAUUUUUACUGAUGUUGUAAGAUUUUAUUUAGCCAAUUCUAUAGAUAAUGUGGU